AUUGGAAAACAUCCCAUGAAGUUUUCCUGACUUAAUUUUGAUUCUAGCUCUGUGUGUGUGGUGGGGAAGAAUCCAAGUUCUAAGGAGUGAGAUCCUUCAUUCUUUCAGCCGCAAAGGCAAAGGAGAGUACAGGAAUGCUGCGGAUGGCACAGGUGAGAACUUACACUUUGGGAACUGGGUUUGGCAGCUACUGGACCGGGAAGAGAACUUUGGGACAGCCAUGAAAACUAUCUUCAGAUGACCAGAAGAUGAAUGAAGUCACCCCACAGCUGCUGGAAGGAGCCAACAGAGGACUGUCAACACAGUGCUUCUGCAAGAGCUGCUAUUGGCUGAAGAGAGCAGCCUGGUCUCCACUACCUCGGCCGGCCUGUCAAUGCGGAAUUAAAGCAACUGUUCACCCCAGAGACCCUUCCCAAUAAGCCUACUACAUAUGUUAGAGAGCCCUCACUGUGACCUUGACAAAGCAAGGUCAUCUGAGGUGAAUAUAACAGCAGUGUAUGAAGAUUCCAGCCGGAUGCGAUGUUUCAGCACUGACUACGCAACUGAUAAGCCGUAUGAACACAUUUGUUUGUUUGAAUGCUGCUGGAGAAAACAUGUAAGAGAAACUACAGCUGUAGAGACACAGCUCUUCUAUUUUUUCCUGCUUUGCUGAAAUACAGUAGAUAAAGCUUGUAUACAUUUAAGAUAUAUACUGAGAUGUGUUGAUAUAAACAUUUGCCAUGAAAAGA
Molecule: non-coding RNA, 728 nt
Organism: Myodes glareolus (Bank vole)
Lineage: Eukaryota; Metazoa; Chordata; Mammalia; Rodentia; Cricetidae
Source: RefSeq, a predicted model, not a curated record